Pan troglodytes (chimpanzee) is the source of this 2635-nucleotide long non-coding RNA. RefSeq lists it as uncharacterized. The transcript is spliced from 4 exons. NCBI's taxonomy places the organism in Eukaryota, Metazoa, Chordata, Mammalia, Primates, Hominidae. The record is from RefSeq and is a predicted model, not a curated record.
ACAGGGUGACACAAAGAGAGCCACCUAACACCUGCAGCACAGGCUGCAAGUUUCAUUACAAGAAAGGAACCCCCAGCCUUGGGAACCCAAAUCUUUUAUAAUGAAUGAGAAAACUGAAGCAGCAAUUUGCCGAAGCUGACAUGGCCAGCAAGUGAAAGAACUGGGACUUGAAUCCAAGCCUGUUUGAAUGAAUAUAUUAACUCAUAACAGAAGUGGUCUUGAGGUCACCCACCUCAGACUCUGGCCUCUAUUUCAGGAGUACAGAUGCACCCCAUCCUAGAGGCAGCCAGAUAUUUUCAGCUUGAACAUCUCUAGAGUGAAUCCUCCAAUGAUUUUAUUCCUCCCCACCAUGAACAUCAGGCAUUUCUUCCUUAUCUCCAAUCAUAAUCUUUUGUUUUUGGCUUUGAUUUAAAAUUUCUCUCCUUUUGUGUUUCAGUCCAUUUUGUGUUGCUACAACAGACUACCCCACACUAGGUAAUUUAUAAAGAAAAGAGGUUUACUUUUUACAGUUCUGGAGGCUGGGAGGUCCGAUAUCAAGAUGCUGGCAUCUUGUGAGUGCCUUCUUGCUGUAUCAUCCCAUGGUGGAAGGUGGAAGGGCAAGAGAUGCCAAGAGCAAGUGAGCACAAGAGAAGGCUGAACUCACUUUUAUCAAGACCCAAUCUGAUGAUAAUGGCAUUCAUCCAUUCAUGAGGGUGGAGCCUUCAUGGUCUAAUCACCUCUUACUGGUCCCAACUCUUAAUACCAUCACAAUGGCAAUUAAAUCUCCACAUGGGUUUUGGAAGGGACAUUUAAACCAUAGCAACUUGUCAAGCUUCCUCAGACGUGAAACCAACUCUUGAUUAGCAAAUAGUCAAAUGCUCUUUUUGCAACAACACUAUGAAGCAGACAGUUUAAAUUUCCACUCAAUAGAUAGGAAUCUAAAGGCCUAAGAAGGGAAAGCAAGCCACCUAAGGUCACAUAGACCAGACAUAGUGGAUCCAGAACUUGAACCCAGGACAUUGGACACCAAAAACCACUCCAGCCAGUCUCUCCACAUCUUCCACUAUGUUGAAGGCACAGUGGUUGGUCUGAGAUCAUGGAAGGAACAGUCUUGGCUGUUUCCAAAGAGAAUAAGAAUGAAGAGGAAGAAAAAGCAAGACUAUGAAAGGGAUGCAUGAGAGGGAAAGAGCUGUCUCUUAGGUUCAGGGUGGAGUGUGUGAGGGUAAGAUGGAGAGCACAGGGACCAGCCUGGAGACUGGAGGGAGUGAAGAAAAAAUGUAAUAUAAAAUAUCUAUGCUCUUUACCAUGGCCUACAAGUUGGAGAUCCAUACAAUUAUGUUGGAACAACAAGCUUCAACCAGAACUGUCCCAGGCAAACUGGGACAUCUGGUCACCUGGCCUAAAGGCUCAUGAUCUGCUUCCUUCCUACCUCUCUGACCCUUUCUCCAUUCUCUCUCCCCCUCGUUUGUUAAGCCCAAGGCAUACUGCUCCUCUGUGAAAUUUCCAGGGUAUUGACACUCCAGGACCUUUGUACUUCCCUCUGCCUGAAAUGCUCUUUUCCCCGCCCUUCACACAGCAGCUUCUCUUCUUUUAGAGGCCUCAGAUGUCAUCUUUCAAGAGAGACUUUCCUGAUCUCCUCGUAUAAGUUCCACCCAAAGGACAAAAUGAUAACUGGAGGACCAGCUGGCUUUCCUGUAAACUUCUUCAAAGAAAGACCCGGCUGGUCACUGAGGGCAACUUCUGGGGCCCUGGGCAUGGACAGGGCACAGGUCAAGUAGGUGAUGGUGUGAUUAUGAGAGGGGUGCAUUUGUCCCACGACCCAGCACAACUUCCUAAUCAUCUCCUCUGUGCCCUCCCCUGGGCUGGCCCCUGGGGAUGGAGACAUUGAAGGACACAGUGCCUGCCCUAUUGGGUCCUGAAGUCUGGGGUGGCAAAAGGAGGCGCAUGAAGCCAACAGAUUAUAGGACAAUGCAGACUCAUAAUAGUUACCGACAAGAAUGAAUGAUGUGCAACAGGAAAGGGAGAGUCUGCUGCAGCCUGGAAGCAUCAGAGGAGGCCAGAGAGAGAAGGGAGUAUGGCAGCCCAUUCUUCAAAAAUGAGGACAUCUUUCACUGGAGAUGCAAACGCCUGAAAAGGAGGAUGGUGCAACUUCGAAGUGGGAGAGUGCAGGGAGAUGACAAUGAUAGGACAGGAGUGAGCUCUACUGUGAUGGCGUUUCAGUCUUUUUGCCCAGGCUGGAGUGCAAUGGUGCGAUCUCGGCUCACUGAAACCUCUGCCUCCCGGGUUCAAGUGAUUCUCCUACCUCAGCCUCCCAAGUAGCUGGGAUUACAGACAUGCACCACAUGCCCAGCUAACUUUGUAAAUAUUUUUAGUAGAGACAGGGUUUCUCCACGUUGGUCAGGCUGGUCUCGAGCUCCCGACCUCAGGUGAUCUGCCUGCCUUGGCCUCCCAAAAUGCUGGGAUUACAAGCGUGAGCCACUGUACCUAGUCAGAUCUGAUGGUUUUAAAAACAGGAGUUGCCCUGCACAAGCUCUCUCUUUGCCUGCUGCCACCCAUGUAAGAGGUGACUUCCUCCUCCUUGUCUUCUGCCAUGAUUGUGAGGCCUCCUCAGCCAGGUAGAACUGUAAGUCCAAUAAACCUCUUUCUUUUGUAAAUU